RNAcentral lists this long non-coding RNA (7308 nucleotides) under Citrus x clementina. RNAcentral describes it as "Citrus clementina (C. clementina) long non-coding RNA (CCLE_LNC002029)". Lineage: Eukaryota; Viridiplantae; Streptophyta; Magnoliopsida; Sapindales; Rutaceae. The record is from RNAcentral.
UAUUAUACGAAUAUUUUACACCAUUGAACAGCAUCAUCUAUUGUUAAAUGUAUUACUGUAACACUAUACACACACAUGUACAAAGAACUUUGAAAGUCUCCACAUCAAUCUAAUUUGGUCCACACAUGAAAAGAGAGAGAGAGAGAGAGAGACAGCAAAGUGGGAGGCUCAAAACAUUAGUUCUGAGAGGCAAUGUUGCUAUCAAGCCACCUAAUGUGAAGGGAAAGACAGAUGAUGAACAACUAGAUAGCGACUCUUUUCUGCCUUCUCUUUGUGCCCAAUUCCAAAACCAGACAAUUAUCAUCAAACGAUGCCGCUGCAAGAACACAGCAGUAUAUAUGUAGAUCAAGUUACAGAGAGACAGAUUAGGAAGAUGACGCAAUGUUAAGAUUACAAACCAGACAAACCAAAAGCUUGUUUAAAUAGUGUUGCUGAUUGAGAAUUAGGGUUUCUUAAGAUGGUGACUUUCGUUGGACAUGUGCAACAUCACAUGCCUUUUAAGUUUCAAAAUGAGUGAAGGCAUCCGAAUCCGAUACUAUUAGAUACCUAACAUUUAAUGACACUUGUUCAAUUCCUAGAAUGUCUUCGUAGUGAUUUCAUGAUCACUGUCCAUCAGUGGCGAAGCCAGCAUCAUUUUUUUGGGUGGGCUAUAUUUUUUUUUAAAAUAAAAUUUACUUCUCAAAAAAUUUGUUUAAUACAAACAAAAUUAAACACAUUACAUAAGUAAAAAUCUAACCAUAAAACUAUAAAAAUACAAUGUAAAUAAGAAAAAUAUUACCAAAUAUUAGAUUUGUUUUUAUUUUUUAUAAAUAUUAAUAAAGUAAAUUUAUAAAUUAUAAUUAUUUUUUUUUUCAAAAAGCUAACCCGGGCUGUAGCCUAGGUUAGCCCACCUUUAACUUCACCUCUGCUGUCCAUUCAAAUUUUUGUGGGUGCCAUUGAUUUUUAUAAUGGCCAAUGAAAAAAAAAUGCAUUUUGUAUAUACUCGCUAAUUCAAUAAAAUCAGUAUUUUUUUUUCAACUUAAAAAUUACCAACCAUAGAAAAAGAAAAUGAAUGCAUGGCAAAAUAAUGAAUUGGUGAAGUGGGGUCAAGAUAUCUUUUAAACCCUAAUGACCAUGGUGGAAAAUUAAAAAAAAAAAUUUACAACUAAUUUUUGAAAGAAAUGUGGUAAAAACAUAAUGUGUGCGUGUGUUGGGGGGGGGGAAUUGGCCGACCAUUAACUGUGUUGCGUUAUUGAAUUAGACAAUUACUCCACAAAAUUAACAAAAAGUACGGCCAAAAGUGGACGUUAUCAUUGACUUGUAACUUGUGUUAAUGUAAAAGUCGGAAAAGAAUCAACAAUUCAACAAGUUCUUAUUACAGAGUCAAAAUUCAUCAGAAUAUGAUGACAUAUUUGAGCAAAUAGAAGAAGCUUUUAGUUAUUAUUAUGAAGAAAAAUGGUAGUUUAUCUAAAGCCUAUGAAACGUCGCGUUUAGGAUGUUACCACAUCAUGGGGCAAAAGAAACAGCAAGUUGGGGUUCACAUCAGAUAAAAUAGUGCUUAAUUUAUGAUGGGCAUAUAAAGUGGUUCAGUUGCAUUGAAGUAGUAAUUGAUAGCUAAAAUGGUCCCCUUUCCAGCCCACAACCUCUGUGAAUAUGACUUUAAUGGCAAAUAAAGAGAGUUCACAAUUGCAAGAAUAAUGAAUGAAAGAGGUAUAGCAAUUGUUGUUUCUUUCUUAUUUAUCGUCUUCUUAGGGUUUAUAAAAUAUAUUAAAAAAAGGAUAUAUGUAUCAAAUUAUUAGGUACACACGUAUGAAGAUACUAGAUAGAUAGUACUAUAAUUAAACGAUGGUGUCUAGUCUUAAAUUUAAAAUUUAAAAUUUAAAAUUCAGUCUUUCUGAGUUUUAAUAAGUGUCUUAGGGUUUAUAAAAAAAAUAAUUAAAAAGUAGUAAACAUAUAUAUCUACAUAUAAAAUACAGAUUUAAAAUUAGACGCCAUCAUCUACUGAUGAUUUGAUAUUAUAUUAUAAUUGGAUAAUAUUAUUUAAAACGUGUAGAGAUCUCAUCUGUACUAGGGCACGAACUAUGUUAGAAAAAUAAAAGGAAAACUUAAAUGGCAUAUUUGGGUGAUGAUGGUGGUGGGUAAGGGGGGCCACCGUAUACUGAGAUGGUGCAAUCAAUCAAAGAAGUACUUCCAUUAAAUCCAAAACUAAAAAAUGCUCAAAUGGGGCUCAGAGCAAGUCGUAUAAGAAAAGCACUCAAAUGAAAAAGCUAGCCCUAGAAAUUAUUAAAUGAGAGAGAGGGAGAGAGAGAGUGACUUGUCUUGGGAUGGCAAAGAAAAAGGAAGAAGAAUUAUGAACAAUUGUGAGGCUGCUGGGGCCGAGAAUAAUUGCAAAACGAGUCAAGCAUGCACGAAUAAAGCAGUCUGAAUUUGCAGAGCUUACUUCAAAUAAAAAUCAUUAAAAUUACCCAUUUCAAAUAAUUCCCAUGCAAAUCUAGAGGAUACCAUGAAUUACAUCCCUUUCAAAAUUUCUCUCUCGUUCCUUGUACCUUAAAUUGGAAGAAAGAGUCAUUUAACCUAACGGUAAAAGAAAAAAAAAAGUUACUGAAAUGGUUUGUUGUUGGAGGAAGUGAAACGAAGAAAGAGUUGAUCAUAAUAUAAAUGUAUGUCAUUCCCUUUUUGUACAUACAUGACAAAUAAUUAUUUUACUUGCUUUUGAUCAACAAGUUAAUAGAUGCUUUUAUCUCUCACGUCUUUCACUUCUUUUCUUAUGUACUUUUUAUUUAUUGUUAUUCUUCUUUUUUCUAGAAUGAUUAACUUGAAAAGCUUACCGAUAAUUUUUAUGCUCUUUCGAUAUUUUCAUGCUUCUCGAGUUAAAAAUGAAUAAGAGCAUUAACUACGUAAUAUUUGAGAAGAAAAUUAACACUAAAGUAUGAAUAUUAUCAAAUUAAUAUAAAAGUGGAGGAUAUAAAAUGUGAAUUUUAUCAAUAGAUCCUGUCGUCUAUAAAAAUCACAUGUAAUAUUGAAGAUCCUUCUGAAUGAAUAUAAUUAACACCAUUAUUUCACAUCUAUACGACAAGAAUCAUAGUCAUUGUGAUGUGGAUGUUAGUUUGUAAAUUUAUCAAGUUAAAAAUAAGAGGUCCGAGGUUCAAAUUUUCACAAGAUUGAGGGGAGAUUUUUUAGUUAUCAUUAAGCUAAAUAUAGAAUAAAUAAAAAUAAUCAUAUUCAUUAGAGAAAUUAUUAGUUAUCCACCCUUAAGUUGCACUUAUAAAAAAUACUACAAUACUUUUAAGUUGUAUCAUUCAUCCACUCUAAAUUUACAAUCAGUAUCAUUCAUCCGCCAAAUUGUUAGCUUCCAUUAAAAAGUGAUGAUGUCCCAAGAAUAAUUUAGAUAUAUAACAUGCUAAAUAAAAAAUAAAGGAGAAAUUAUCGGUCAUCUACCUAAAGUUAACCUUGUUAUUAAAAAUAGUACAAAAGUUUGAAUUUGUUCAAUUUGUCACUCUAAGUUUGUAAUUUGUAUCAAUUGUCCGCCAAAACAUUAACGGUUGAUUAUAAUUAAUGAUGUCAUAAUGGUAAUUUAGACAUUUAACUUGCUAAAAACAAACAAGACAAUAGUUUUAAAUAUUAAAAAAAUAGUUUUUAUAACCAAUAUACAAUUAAAUGUAGUUAAAACUCUAUUUUCCUUAAUCUAAAAAAAAAUCUAAUUGGUCUUCUUAAUUUAUCUUCACAAAUUUACAAAAUCAAAAUGAAUCCACAAGUCAGCCUAAACCCUAAUUCAUAAACACCAAUCAAUUCAAUCCUUAAAUUCGAUUUCAUAAUUAAAAAAGAUAAAUUUUAUUUGAUUAUUUAUGGUGCAAAGUCAAAAAUGCUCUUGAAUUCAAGGGUAAAAUGACCAGUUUACUUAAAUUAUGAUAAAUAUUCUAACAAUGUUAAUUUUUUGUUGAAUGGUUGAUAUAAAUUAUAAACUUAGGAUGGAAAAUCCAAUAAAUUCAAAUAUUUCUAACAUUUUGUGUAACAGGAUAAACUUAGGGUAUGACGGAUAAUUUCCCUGUAUUUUUAUAUUAAAUUGAUUGUCAAGGCAAAAAUGGUCAAUUUGCAACAAUUUUGUUAAUUUUAUAAUGGCAACUAACGAUUUGGUUGAUGAAUGAUACUAAUUGUACAUUUAGGAUAGAUGAAUAAUACAACUUGAAAGUGUUGUAGUGUUUUUUUAUAACAAAAUAAUUUAAGGGUAUAUAGUUGAUAAUUUUCAUGUUCAAUAUGAUAUAUAAAAGUGAUAAUUAUAAUGGCCAUUAUGAAUUAUAAAAUAGGCAAAAAUUGUUAGAAUAAUAACCUUUUGGUGAAAAUCAUCACCUAUAAUUCAGGAAACAUUUAUGUUGUAUCACUAAGAAUCAACAAACGAAUAUACGAAAGUGCACCUAAAUCCAUAAUGCUUUAACUGCUCUUUGGAGUAGUAUGAUUUGUCUUUCAGAUCAACACGUUCUCUUAGAUAAUCCUUUAAGUUUCUCUGUGCUCUCUCUAAUGAUGGGAUGUCAGAAAGAAUAAAACGAUAUGUGUGACUUGGAGACCAUAACCAUUUAUACAGACAACUUUUCAUGUUAUCUUUUGGUAUUUCUAUUACAACCCAUCAUAGAAAUAGAGAUUACUCUUAAGUCUAUUAAAGGCAUCAUAUUAGAUACAUUAAAGCGCAUAUUACCGAAAACUUUAAUAGAUCAUUUUUAAUUAGCCUUAACCUUAAAUGACAGUCUGCAACACAUAAUUAUUCACAUACAAGCCCAGCGUUGGAUUAAAGAUCCAACAAAAAUCUCCAAAAAGAAAAAUUAUCCAGUUACUUUUAUAUCUUUAUGUUGUUGUACAUGUUGAAUUUUUAAACCACAUUAAAUAAUAAGAGUGAUAAUUAAUUUCUCUAUAUUGUUGUAUAAAUUGAUUCACUAUACUGUAGCUAUAGCCCUCUAGCUCAAAUUGAACAUAUACUGUAGGUAUAGUGACGAAUCAGCAUCUCAAACAUGGUACUUCUGCACUAAAUAAGGGCUGUCCUAAUAUAUAUACUGUAUAUAUAUAAUCUAAUAAUCUAUAUUCUUUGAUGUUGAUGAAGAAAGAAAUAAAAGCAAUGGAUAAAAGAAAAAGGAGAGAGUGUAAGUUGUACUUUUGUUAGCUAGCUAUCCAUAGAAUUAAGAGAAAGAAAUGGAGGAUGAUUGCAAUUGUAUCUUCUCCAUUUGUACAACAAUCCGGCUAAUGGCUAUUAGCAUUUUUACUUUCUUCAGGACCACAUUGCUGCAGAAUCCCUGUAACAGAUAUAAAACAGCCAACAACUAUAAAGAACCAACACCAACUACUGGUACCUGGUCCCUGGUCCCUGAGAGAGAGAAAUCAAAGCCACGAUCAUUUCCUUCGGAAAUUAAAGGAGAGAAAAUUACCAUUUUUCUUUUUAACUAACGUGGGUUGUUGGCUGAUUGAUGGACACAAGUACAUGUCAUAAACUAUUAGAGUUUGAGAGGAAGAAGUCGGAUGUUUACAGAAAAAAGAGUGUUAUGCUCCUUCGCUUUCAAAAAUAAAAAAUAAUAAUUUUAAUAAUUGAUAAUAUGAAAUCGUGAAAGGUGCUUCUUUUUGGAUUUAUUCUCAUAUAACAAAACAAUAAAAUAUGCAUGCAUACAUUUGGCUGAUGAUCAUGAGAUGAUUGUGAUGAUAAUAAUUGUUGAUCAUUUAUGCUUACUUUAUCUACAUUACUUUUGUUACUUAUAUAUCAAACCUAUCUAUAUUCAACGUCUUGUCUUGCUUGUUCAAUUAGCUAGUUAUUCGUUGUUUACAUGUCAAAUUUACUUUUGAGCAGAAGUAAAUUUUAUGAUGGUCAAAGUAAACUAGCAAUAUAUAAAAAUGUAAAUAUAUAAUGAAAAUUUCAAUUGGCACUUAGUCUUUUGUUUGGCCAUCAAGUCCAAAUCUUAGUAAAGAAAGGGAUUAAAAAUUUUGAUUUAAAUCUUGUUCACCUCUGAUCACCUUAUAAAUUAAAAAUAAAAAAAAUAAUUAAAAAAAUCAUACUACGGUGAAAAUCUAAAAUAAAUAAAAAAAUUAUGUCAUUAUGUUGCAUAGAAACCCAUACACGUACAUAUGUUGGGUAGGAGUCAUAUAAUAAAAUCAUGAAAAAUGUAGACGUGGGGGAGUUUCAAUUUCCACACCUAAACUAAGCCACAUUAUUUAUUAUUGAUGUAAAUGUUUUGCCGUUCAAUGUCUUUCCUAUGAGCUGUGACCUCAUUGAAUUGAUAACGGGCUCUUCUACUUACACCAUAAUAAGUACUAGAGAGAACCUGUGUUGUGUCAUAAUAAAGGAGAAAAUUGCCCGCAUUAAUAUUUGAAAACAGUGUGAGAAUAACGUUAUUUAUUUGUCGAUAGCUCACAAAUUUACAUAAUUUGCUAGAAUUAUCUAAUAAUACUUAAGCAUUUCAUGACCUCAUAAUUAGCACGUCUUUAUUGUUUGAUAUUAAUUUUAAUAUAUUGCCCUAAGAUUGAAUGGUUUUCAAGUAAUUUUAUUUGGUUGGUCACCCAAGUUCAAAUUUUUUUUAAAAAAAUAAAGAAUUAAAAAAUAAAUUUAAGUAAAACUGAAAAUUAAGGAAAAAAAUCCUCCAUUUCUUUUAAUCAUAUCUAAUGUUUCAAAUGGAAAAAAAAAAAAAUUUGUUAACGAUACGAGUAACGGUAUGAUCAUUUGGUUAAUUAAUGUCAAUAAUGUUGUUUUUGUUAUUAUCAUACAAUUAAAAGUACAAUUAAUUUUUCGAAUGAUACAUGAUAAUGUCUAGAUGGGUGCUUUAAUUAAUUAGUUCUUGUAAUGAUUGUUUUAAUUGGUAUUGCAACGACAUAAACCAUUCCUCUCCAUAUCAAUUCUGCGCAAAAUUGAAAUUUUAUGAACAUAAAUAAAAAAUUUUAUUAGUUGAAUCAAGUAGCACUCAAUACAAAUAACUACGCUCACUUGAUUCUCAUAAUAUCUUGAUUUUUGAAGGAUUAUCAGAAUAUUUAUUCAAUAAAAUUUGGUCAUAUUCCAUUUAUUUAAAGCCAGUCAAUCAUCAAAAUAGAUUAACGUACUAAUCAAUCAUAAGCUGGAGUUUGUUCAGAUAAAAGCUCAUAUCAUUUAGACCAUUCAAGUUGUACAUAAACAUGAUUUUUCUAAUUCUUAGCAUGGUGAGACAGUCUUAAAUAUUUCGUUCAUUCUAUAAUUUCAUUAUCAAAUUCUUGUCACAUGUACCUCUUAACAAAGUAUCUAAAAAUAAGAAUGAAUACGCAUGUUACAAUUAAUCCAAUAUCCACCAAAAUAGCACCCAAAAUUUUGUGAUAGCAAAAUUGAGGGGG